This is a non-coding RNA of Misgurnus anguillicaudatus (oriental weatherfish), 1412 nucleotides long. The record is from RefSeq and is a predicted model, not a curated record. Lineage: Eukaryota; Metazoa; Chordata; Actinopteri; Cypriniformes; Cobitidae.
AACCAAUUAACUGUGUUUUACCACAAAAUAACCAACUAAUAAUAAUCAAUACACCAAAAAAACAUGGUUACUAAACUUUUACCACAAAAAAAAAACAUUCAUUUUCGAAAGGGGAAUAUGAGUGUUUGUUUUUUUGUAGUUUUUGAGUCAAUUGCAUACCGCUUUUAGCUGUACACAUUAAUUAACUUAAACAGUUUUCGUAAAUGCAUUUAAGAGAAAAGUGAAUUCUGAUAUUUGAAUAAUGCAUCUGACGUGUGUGAUGACGUCACGACGCACGUAUUUUGAUUUUUACCAGUCGUCCAAGACAGACGGAUUCAGUCCCAAGAAGCUAAAGUUUUUCAAAGACAUUUGUAGGGAGGACUUUGCAGCUAAUGAUUUCCUUAGGCUGAACCAAAACCUGCCAGACUAAAGUUGAUUUGGGAGAGAAAGACGUUCAAUCAUCUUGACAUUCUUCAAUGAGUAAUUUUAGGCAAAUACUGUACUCUUUGAAUGCUGUGAAUAAAACUAUAUUUUAAAUAUAUUUAAAAUGAAUUGUUUUUGACUGUUUUAAUCAGCUUUUAUUUAUUUGGAAAAAAUUAUUUUGGUUAUGUUACCAGCUAAAGUAAUCUAUUCCCAAAAUAGCACUCUAAGUUAACUAAUUAUUAACGCACUUGGGGGCAGUUUCCCGGACAGGGAUUAGCUUAAGCCAGGACUAGAUCUGAGUUUAAUUAGGAAAUAUAACUAGUUUUAACAAACUUACCUUACUAAAAACAUUACUUGCAUGCAUUUUGAGGCAAAACAAAGGGCACUGAUGUAUUUUAAGAUAUGUCAGUGCAAGUUGUUUUCAGUUUGGACACCUCUUACAUUUAUUUUAGUCUAGAACUAGUCUAAUCCCUGUCCGCGAAACUGCCCCUUGAAGUAUACUCAUUACUAAUCUAGCUGCAGGUAUGUAAAAGUAUACAAAAUGUAAUGUACUUGGCAUAUUCAUUUUUCACCAGGGCAGUUUUUGGAAUUUUGGAUUGGCCAAAAAUAUAUAGAAUGUAUGCAAACAGUCUAUUUAAGGUAUACUGAUUGUAUGUUUGCAAGACACUCAUAAUACAUUUGUAAUGUACUCCUAACAUAAAUAAAACACACUCUAAAUCCACUUAUCAAGCAUGAAUUUAGCACAAAAACUGUCAUGUACUUAAAUUGUACUAAAUACACUUAAAGUUGUUCCACUUUAGCACACAAAAGUACACUAAAUACACUUAAAGUUGUACUUUGUUACAAUUAAUACACAACUAAAAUAUAUUAAGUACAAAAUUAGUUGUUCCAAAAUAGCACUCUUUAAAUAAACUAAUCAAUAGCACACUUUAAGUAUACUGGUCAUUAGUGUGACUGCAAGUAUACUUAAGUAUAUCAAAAUUAAAUAUAUUUAGCAUACUAUUUUUUCA